Molecule: non-coding RNA, 65 nt
Organism: Podarcis lilfordi (Lilford's wall lizard)
Lineage: Eukaryota; Metazoa; Chordata; Lepidosauria; Squamata; Lacertidae
Source: the annotation of a GenBank genome assembly
GAGCUCCAUGGUAGAGCAUCUGCUUUGUGUGCAGAAGGUCCUGGGUUCAAUCCCCAGCAUCUCCA